AACGAACGCUGGCGGCAUGCCUAACACAUGCAAGUCGAACGAGACCUUCGGGUCUAGUGGCGCACGGGUGCGUAACGCGUGGGAACCUGCCUUUAGGUUCGGAAUAACUCAGAGAAAUUUGAGCUAAUACCGGAUGAUGUCUUCGGACCAAAGAUCUAUCGCCUUUAGAUGGGCCCGCGUUGGAUUAGCUAGUUGGUGGGGUAAAGGCCUACCAAGGCGACGAUCCAUAGCUGGUCUGAGAGGAUGAUCAGCCACACUGGGACUGAGACACGGCCCAGACUCCUACGGGAGGCAGCAGUGGGGAAUAUUGGACAAUGGGCGAAAGCCUGAUCCAGCAAUGCCGCGUGGGUGAUGAAGGCCUUAGGGUUGUAAAGCUCUUUUACCCGAGAUGAUAAUGACAGUAUCGGGAGAAUAAGCUCCGGCUAACUCCGUG
This 433-nucleotide ribosomal RNA is filed under the name uncultured bacterium. RNAcentral describes it as "partial 16S ribosomal RNA". It matches the Rfam family "Bacterial small subunit ribosomal RNA", at positions 29 to 507 of the family's 1533-position model. The record is from RNAcentral.